UGUCUUGCUCUGACUGGUGCACUGGACAUGAUUUCAAUAGUCAGCCAGACCAUGAUUGAGCUUAAGGGUUGUGCUGCGGAUGCAGCCUGUGCAGUUCGGGGAGAAAGUCACUGUCUCGGGCAAUGCGGUCUGGUAUCAGGUCUGGAUGAUCCUUGCCUGACUGCGGGUUUGUGUACACCUCAAUCCGACUCUGUGUCCUGAACAGAGGCCGCAGUGGUGCAGCGCUUGUGGACGAUCCAUCAACAUCCUGAAAGGUCAACACUACACCAAGCUGGGAAAAUUGAUCCUGAUAGUCAUCCCCAGGCCUGACCGUUUGUCCUUGAGCCGUAGAUGGUCAACAAUCCGCUAGCUGUCUUGCUCUGACUGGUGCACUGGACAUGAUUUCAAUAGUCAGCCAGACCAUGAUUGAGCUUAAGGGUUGUGCUGCGGAUGCAGCCUGUGCAGUUCGGGGAGAAAGUCACUGUCUCGGGCAAUGCGGUCUGGUAUCAGGUCUGGAUGAUCCUUGCCUGACUGCGGGUUUGUGUACACCUCAAUCCGACUCUGUGUCCUGAACAGAGGCCGCAGUGGUGCAGCGCUUGUGGACGAUCCAUCAACAUCCUGAAAGGUCAACACUACACCAAGCUGGGAAAAUUGAUCCUGAUAGUCAUCCCCAGGCCUGACCGUUUGUCCUUGAGCCGUAGAUGGUCAACAAUCCGCUAGCUGUCUUGCUCUGACUGGUGCACUGGACAUGAUUUCAAUAGUCAGCCAGACCAUGAUUGAGCUUAAGGGUUGUGCUGCGGAUGCAGCCUGUGCAGUUCGGGGAGAAAGUCACUGUCUCGGGCAAUGCGGUCUGGUAUCAGGUCUGGAUGAUCCUUGCCUGACUGCGGGUUUGUGUACACCUCAAUCCGACUCUGUGUCCUGAACAGAGGCCGCAGUGGUGCAGCGCUUGUGGACGAUCCAUCAACAUCCUGAAAGGUCAACACUACACCAAGCUGGGAAAAUUGAUCCUGAUAGUCAUCCCCAGGUAGUGGAAUGAAUGUUCACUGAACUACAGAGGAAUCACACCCAAAUGACUUUCCUGCCACGACAUUAGUGUGGCCACUCGCGUAGGAAUUCCUUAGCAAACAUGCUCUUUUGCAUGGUGACUGUGGACAUUUUUGCAAAACUUACGCUUUCAACACUGGAUUUUAAAGAGAAUACUUAAUAAAAUGUCGCUAACAGGACUUAUUUAUAUGAGAGAGACUAUCUGGAUGCGCAUUAAGUGUCACUUUGUGUCGUAAGCUGUUGAAGGAGCGAUUUGCGCCUUUUUAAGUGUUAAUUUUGGGUAGCCGGCUUGUAUCGGCUUGAAAGCUGAAAAUUAUGCCUCUCAUCAUAAUAGCAUUAAUUUUUGUAAUUGCAAUGUGUAUGUUUAGAUUGUAAGUGAAGCUUUUAAUAAUAAUUUUCAUAAAAAACAUGAUUUUA
Molecule: long non-coding RNA, 1440 nt
Organism: Dreissena polymorpha
Lineage: Eukaryota; Metazoa; Mollusca; Bivalvia; Myida; Dreissenidae
Exons: 9
Source: RefSeq, a predicted model, not a curated record